CUUUCUCCCUGACACCAUGUGAAGAAGGUCCUUGGUUCCCGUUCACUUUCCAUCAUGAUUGUAAGUUUCCUGAGGCCUCCCUAACUGUGCAGAACUGUAAGUAAAUUACAAUUAAGCCUUUUUUCUUCAAAAAUUACCCAGUCUCAGGAGGUUCUUUAUAGCAGUGUGAAAACAGACAGUCGUUUCUCUCCUCACGCCCUGCCGUGUGUGUGUGUGUGUGUGUGUGUGUGUGUGUGUGUGUGUGUGUGUGUAGGGGUGGGGGUUUCGGGGGGGAGCGCGGGGAGGAUAGCAGAAAAUGGCUUACAGAGAGAAAUCCCCCCUCCCUCUGUCUCUGUACAGGGAAGCUGUUUUCUCCUUCCUUCCAUCUUUCUUGACUGUUGAACUUUUCACUCCUUAAAACUACUCCACGUGUGUCCAUGUUGUUUUAUCAAAAUUGGUGCGAGACUAAGGACCCUGGUGUUCGAACACUCCAGUCAUCAGAGCUGUUUCAGUAUUGGGAAGGGGGAUCCAGCCAUCAACCUGGAGCCAAACCCCAACCAACGAGAUGCGACUAUAAAUGGGACACUCUGGGGCACGUUCCACAAGGUUCUGCAGAAGUCUCCAGCAAGAUUAAGCCCCUUUUGACCACAGCUGCAAUCCCCACAUUCAUGACCACGCCUUCUUUGCCUUUUCUUCCUGUCUCCCUUUCCCACUUUCUCACCUGUUCUUCCUGAGAUUGCCUGUCAAACUGCCUGCCUGCCUCCCGAUGCUUGUCUCAGGGUACAUUUUGAAGGAAACCCAAACCAAGACGGGGUAGUAUUUGCUGUAAUGGGCUUUUAUUUCUAUCUUAGACAAAUUCAGGUCUCAGAAAAACCUGGCACUUGUAAACCAAAAAUAAAAUUCUAAGGCCCUCCAACCAUCAGAAUGGGCCCCUCCUCUUGGCCCAGAGCAUUCCAAAGUUAACCUGAAAAUCUAGUUCAGGCCACAACAGGAUGGUGGGGUCGAACAUGCCUCAGUAUGCCCUCCUGCCUUUUGGAAUUCAGGAAAAGCUGACUAGUAUUAACAUCAAUACAGACCUUAAGUCUGAUAAAAGACAUCUGCAAUGUAUUCUCUCUGAAGCCUCCUACUUGGAGGCUUCAUCUGCAAUAUAAAGUCUUGGUCUCUAUAACCCCUUUAGGGAAACCAGACAUUUCUUUCUAUUGAUAAAACUCUUUCAACCAAUUGCCCAUCAGAAAAUUUUUAAAUUUACCUAUGACUUGGAAGCCCCACUUCGAGUUGUCUUGCCCUUCCAGAUCAAACCAGUGUAAAUGUUACAAGUGUUGACUGUUGUAUUAUGUCUCCCUAAAAUAUAUAAAAGCAAGCUGUGCCCCAGCCACCUUGGGCACAUGCCAUCACGACCUCUUGAGGCUGUGUCACAGGCGUAUCCUUAACCUUGGCAAAAUAAACUUUCUAAAUUGAUUGAGACCUGUCUCAGAUACGUUUGUAGGUUCACACACUGUAACACUAAUCCAGACUUAAAACCCACAUGGGCAUUUUCUCUGCCAGUGCCCUGCUACGGUUUGAAUAUGUCAUAUCCCCCAAAAAUCACGUGUUAGAAACUCAAUCCCCAUACAACAGUAUUAAGAGAUGGGAUCUUUAUGAGAUUAUUAGGCCAUGAGGACUCUGCCCUCAUGAAUAUAUUAAUGCUAUUAUCACAGGAGUGGAUCCCUUAUAGAAAGACCAGUUCAGUCUCCUUUUCUCUCCCCUGCCCUCUGCCUUUUGUCAUGGAAUGACGCAGCUAAAAGGCCUUUGACAGAUACUGGCCCAUUGAUCUUGAACUUCCCAGUUCCAGAACUGUGAGCCAAUAAAUUUCUGUUCAUUUUAAAUUACCCAGUCUACGGUAUUCUGUUAUAGGAGCACAAAACAGACUAUGACAUGCCAUAAAUACAACAUACGUAGGAAAACACACAUAUCUAAAGAUUUUAUUAUUAUUAUUAUUAUUUAGAGACAGGGUCUUGCUAUGUUGCUCAGCCAAGUCUCAAACUCCUGGCCUCAAGCAACCCUUUCACCUCAACUUCCCAAGUGGUGGGGAUUACAGGUAUAAGCCACUGUACCUAGCUCUAUCUAAAGAUUUUUUACUGAAGAGUAUCAAUCUGAAAUAAUCAAAAGGAUCAGGAUCCAGUUUUAAAGAGCUUAUUCAAGAGAAGCUGAAAGCCAUUCCUGGAUGCGCCCCUUCAGAGAAAUGAGUUUAGUGCUUUGAAGUCAAAAGCUAAAUUUUUUCUUAUAUAGGAAAAAGACAAAUUUAACAAGAUUACAACAUUUUCUAUACAAAACUGAUUUAUGAGUUAUAACAAAUUAAUUAGUUACAGUUUGUUUCCAUGUAGCUUGUUUUCUUUUCCUUAUAACUGGUUUUUCAUUUCCUUUCCAAUUUUAAAGAGUGUAUUUAACAUUCCAUCUUAAGCCAUAUGAUAGCCUAGAAAUCUUUGUGUCAGAAAGGUAAGAGGGGGGUCAAUGUAUAAUGAAAGUCUACAGUUAGAGGGAAGGGGGUCCUCCCUGGCACCCUUCAACCAUUUACAUUUUAUGAAACAAUGCAUGUAAGGGAAAAGGCUUAAUUUGUUAUUAAACAAAAGCUUAUAGCUUAUAGCUGCCUAGUCUACAGCCUGUCAAUGACUCAGGCCCUGAAAUUCUCAUUCCUUUAAGGCUCAGAAUAAUUUAGCAUUCCAAUAGCUUAGACUUUGAAUUACUUAUUUCCACAAGAGGACACCUGUAGGCAGGAUUUCCACAAGCACUACCUGACCCUUUAUUUAUAACGCAACUCAAGAAGGCCCUGGCCUGGCACAGUGGCUCGUGCCUGUAAUCCCAGCACUUUAGGAGGCUGGGGCGGGCAGAUUGCUUGAGCCCAGGUGUUCCAGACCAGCCUGGGAAAUACAGGGAGACACUGUCUCUACAAAAAUAAAAAUAGAAAUAAGCCAGGCAUGGUGGCACGGGCCUGCAAUCUCAGCUACGUGGGAGGCUGAGGCAGGAGGAUCACUUGAACCCAGGAGGUAGGGGUUGCAGUGAGCUGAGAUCAUGCCACUGCACUACAGUCUGGGCAACAGAGUGAGACCUUGUCUCCAAAAAAAAAAAAAAAAGGCUGGGCAUGGCAGCUCACGCCUAUAAUUCCAGCACUUUAGGAGGCUGAGGUGGGCAAACUGCCUAAGGUCAAGAGUCUGAGACCAGCCUGGCCAACAUAGUGAAACCCUGUCUCUACCAAAAAUACAAAAAUUAGCCAGGCAUGGUGGCGCAUGCCUGUAAUCCCAGCUACUCAGGAGGCUGAGGCAGGAGAAUCUCUUGAACCCAGGAGAUGGAGGUUGCAUUGAGCCGAGAUCACACUAAUGCACUCCAGCCUGAGACUCCAUCUCAAAAAAAAAAAAAAAAAAAGGAAGGCCCUAAGACAACAGGCUUCAUGCCUCACAUUUAUAAAGAAUAUCAAGUCCUCCAGACAGCUAAGUUUGCUAAGUUUGUGAUGAUACGAAAAAUUAGGGAAAGAUUUUCCUAUUUUGUGAAUCACUGAGGGAAGCUAUGUGGUUAAGUACAUAAGGAAAAAAACUAGACUAUUUCUAGUUUCUGGAAGCGGCAUUAUCUGUAACCUUGUUUUGAUCGUCUUAAUAACAAUCCUUUAAAUGUUAAUGUGAGAAAUGACUAAUAAACAAUUAUUAAAAAUGAGGCUUUAAUUUGCCUUAUUUGCAUAACACUGAUUGCUCCAUUGGUUAUCCCCUCUCCUGAAUCACCAAUCUGAUUAUUAGGCUAUUCCCAUAGACAUGACUGUCCCCACAAAUCCCUAGCUACCAGCCUGUUUCUUUUAAAGCAAUUUUGUUGAGAGAUCUAUCUUCAUAUUUCAUUUUCAAAGUCCAGUCUGGCUUCUGCUGUCAUCACUCCCCCAAAACUGUAUAAAAUUAGCAAUAUCAGGCUAGGAGUGGUGGCUCACGCCUGUAAUCCCAGCACUUUGGGAAGCUGAGGCGGACAGAUCAUUUAAGCCCAGGAGUUCAAAACCAGCCUAGACAACAUGGCGAAAACCCGUUGCUGCAAAAAAUACAAAAAAAUUAACUGGACAUGGGGGUGUGCGCCUGUAGUCCCAGCUACCAAGGAGGCUGAGGUGGGAGGAUCACUUGAGCCCGGGGAGGUUGAGGCUGCAGUGAGCUGUGAUCAUGCCACUACACUCCAGCCUGGGCAAUAGAGCAAGGCCACGCCUUAACAAAAAGAAAAAAAAAUCAGCAAUAUCUCUGUGCUGCCAAUAAAAACUCCUGUCAUCUUACUAUUAAUAGUUCCCUUAACAGCAUUCAAUUCAGAUGCCAACUCCUUCCUAGAAACAUUCUUCUCUUCCCUUGGCUUCUAUGUUACUGUACUCUCCUGGUUUCUACAUUGGCUAUUCCUUCUUGUCUCUUGAUCUCCAAGUGUUGUUCAGGGAUCAGGAAUCCCUCCAAGGCCUUCGUUAUUUCUUUUUCUUUUUUUUUUUUUUUAUUUUUUAUUUUUAU
Molecule: long non-coding RNA, 4472 nt
Filed under: Homo sapiens (human)
Lineage: Eukaryota; Metazoa; Chordata; Mammalia; Primates; Hominidae
Description: HSALNT0296390
Source: RNAcentral